RNAcentral lists this ribosomal RNA (253 nucleotides) under uncultured microorganism. Its description in RNAcentral is "partial 16S ribosomal RNA". It matches the Rfam family "Bacterial small subunit ribosomal RNA", at positions 524 to 776 of the family's 1533-position model. The record is from RNAcentral.
UACAGAGGGUGCAAGCGUUAAUCGGAUUUACUGGGCGUAAAGCGUGCGCAGGCGGCCCGUUAAGACAGGUGUGAAAUCCCUGGGCUCAACCUAGGAAUUGCGCUUGUGACUGGCGGGCUCGAGUACGGUAGAGGGGGGUGGAAUUCCUGGUGUAGCAGUGAAAUGCGUAGAGAUCAGGAGGAACACCGAUGGCGAAGGCAGCCCCCUGGGCCUGUACUGACGCUCAUGCACGAAAGCGUGGGGAGCAAACAGG